GAUGAACGCUGGCGGCGUGCCUAAUACAUGCAAGUCGAGCGAAUGGAUUAAGAGCUUGCUCUUAUAAAGUUAGCGGCGGACGGGUGAGUAACACGUGGGUAACCUGCCCAUAAGACUAGGAUAACUCCGGGAAACCGGGGCUAAUACCGGAUAACAUUUUGAACCGCAUGGUUCGAAAUUGAAAGGCGGCUUCGGCUGUCACUUAUGGAUGGACCCGCGUCGCAUUAGCUAGUUGGUGAGGUAACGGCUCACCAAGGCAACGAUGCGUAGCCGACCUGAGAGGGUGAUCGGCCACACUGGGACUGAGACACGGCCCAGACUCCUACGGGAGGCAGCAGUAGGGAAUCUUCCGCAAUGGACGAAAGUCUGACGGAGCAACGCCGCGUGAGUGAUGAAGGCUUUCGGGUCGUAAAACUCUGUUGUUAGGGAAGAACAAGUGCUAGUUGAAUAAGCUGGCACCUUGACGGUACCUAACCAGGAAGCCACGGCUAACUACGUGCCAGCAGCCGCCGCCG
This 515-nucleotide ribosomal RNA is filed under the name uncultured bacterium. Its description in RNAcentral is "partial 16S ribosomal RNA". It matches the Rfam family "Bacterial small subunit ribosomal RNA", at positions 28 to 523 of the family's 1533-position model. The record is from RNAcentral.